GAAGGCCUACUACGUGCAUGUCGAGCGAACUGUUUAAAUCUUGCUUCUAUGACGUUAGCGGCGGAGGGGUGAGUAACACGUGGGCAACCUGCCUGAAAGACUGGGAUAACUCCGGGAAACCGGAUCUAAUACCGGAUAAUUUUUUCUCUUGCAUAAAAAAAAAUUGAAAGAUGGUUUCGGCUAUCACUUACAGAUGGGCCCGCGGUGCAUUAGCUAGUUGGAGAGGUAACGGCUCCCCAAGGCAACGAUGCAUACCCCACCUGAGAGGGUGAUCGGCCACACUGGGACUGACACACGGCCCACACUCCUACGGGAGGCAGCAGUAGGGAAUCUUCCGCAGUGGACAAAAGUCUGACGGAACAACGCCGCGUGAGUGAAGAAGGUUUUCGGGUCAAAAAACUCUGUUGUUAGGGAAAAACAAGUACAAGAGUAACUGCUUGUCCCUUGACGGUACCUAACCAGAAAGCCACGGCUAACUACGUGCCACCAGCCGCGGUAAUACGUAGGUGGCAAGCGUUAUCCGAAAUUAUUGGGCGUAAAGCGCGCGCAGGCGUUUUCUUAUCUCUGAUGUGAACCCCCACGGCUCAACCGUGGAGGGUCUGUGGAAACUGGAGAACUUGAGUGCAAAAGAAAAAAGCGGACUUCCGCGUGUAGCGGAGAAAUGCGUAGAGAUGGGGAAAAAACACCAGUGGAGAACGCGUUUUUUUGGUCUGUAUGUGACUCUGAGGCGCGAAAGCGUGGGGAAAACACACGAUUAUAUACCGUGGUACUCCACGCCAUAAAAA
This 785-nucleotide ribosomal RNA is filed under the name Priestia flexa. RNAcentral's name for it is "Bacillus flexus partial 16S ribosomal RNA". It matches the Rfam family "Bacterial small subunit ribosomal RNA", at positions 42 to 808 of the family's 1533-position model. The record is from RNAcentral. Lineage: Bacteria; Bacillati; Bacillota; Bacilli; Caryophanales; Bacillaceae.